CCUGGUAGUCCACGCUGUAAACGAUGAAUACUAGGUGUGGGAGGACUGACCCCUUCCGUGCCGCAGUUAACACAAUAAGUAUUCCACCUGGGGAGUACGACCGCAAGGUUGAAACUCAAAGGAAUUGACGGGGGCCCGCACAAGCAGUGGAUUAUGUGGUUUAAUUCGACGCAACGCGAAGAACCUUACCAGGGUUUGACAUCCAACUAACGAAGCAGAGAUGCAUUAGGUGCCCUUCGGGGAAAGUUGAGACAGGUGGUGCAUGGUUGUCGUCAGCUCGUGUCGUGAGAUGUUGGGUUAAGUCCCGCAACGAGCGCAACCCCUAUUGUUAGUUGCUACGCAAGAGCACUCUAGCGAGACUGCCGUUGACAAAACGGAGGAAGGCGGGGACGACGUCAAAUCAUCAUGCCCCUUAUAUCCUGGGCUACACACGUAAUACAAUGGCCGUCAACAAAGGGAAGCAAAGCCGCGAGGUGGAGCAAAUCCCCAAAAACGGUCUCAGUUCGGAUUGCAGGCUGCAACUCGCCUGCAUGAAGCUGGAAUUGCUAGUAAUCGUAGAUCAGCAAGCCACGGGAAA
RNAcentral lists this ribosomal RNA (577 nucleotides) under uncultured bacterium. RNAcentral describes it as "bacterial SSU rRNA". It matches the Rfam family "Bacterial small subunit ribosomal RNA", at positions 786 to 1366 of the family's 1533-position model. The record is from RNAcentral.